Non-coding RNA from Cucurbita pepo subsp. pepo (vegetable marrow), 613 nucleotides. The record is from RefSeq and is a predicted model, not a curated record. Lineage: Eukaryota; Viridiplantae; Streptophyta; Magnoliopsida; Cucurbitales; Cucurbitaceae.
AAUAAAACUCCAUCCAAACUUCUACUCAUAAAUUUAAUUAUUAUUUGUAUACAAUUGUUAAUAUGUAAGAAAAUACACGUACAAAAUGUUUAUACUAUUGGUAAUACAUUAGUCUUGGUUGUUUGACUAAAACAAUGCAACCAUUGUCCAAACUAAAGAAUUUGAUUCGAAGCUAUCUCCUAAUAGAGGGAGGCUCAAUUAGACUUUGUUGUAAGAUUCGACCAUAUCAAUUUGAAUAGCGUUCUCCAACUAUAAAUAUUGAACUCCAAAGUAUUCACGAGCAAAGUAAGUUUGUUGAAACUAUCUAUAAAAGUGUUCCAAAGUGAGUCGUGGAGAAGAUUUGCCUUAAAAUCUAGUUCCAAUUAAGGAUGUCAAUGAUGAAGAAGUGCAAGCUGUUGGAAGAUAUUGCAAUUGUGAAGAAGUUCCGUCAUAUGCAUCGGACGGUACCGCCAUCCUAUAAGCUCUUAUCUUUUGUGGAAUUCUUCAAAUUCCCUCUCCAUAAGUAGCAGUAUAACUACUAGAUUGCUUUCUUUAUUUACAAUAAGUCCUCUCUCUAUAUGUGCUUCUCGGACAUUACUCUCUUUUAUCUAUAAAAAUGGCAUAGCCAUAAUGA